GAUGAACGCUGGCGGCGUGCCUAAUACAUGCAAGUCGAGCGAACAGACGAGGAGCUUGCUCCUCUGACGUUAGCGGCGGACGGGUGAGUAACACGUGGAUAACCUACCUAUAAGACUGGGAUAACUUCGGGAAACCGGAGCUAAUACCGGAUAAUAUAUUGAACCGCAUGGUUCAAUAGUGAAAGACGGUUUUGCUGUCACUUAUAGAUGGAUCCGCGCCGCAUUAGCUAGUUGGUAAGGUAACGGCUUACCAAGGCAACGAUGCGUAGCCGACCUGAGAGGGGGAUGGGCCACAAUGGAACUGAGACACGGUCCAGAGUCAUAAGGGAGGCAGCAGUAGGGAAUAUUACGAAAAGGGCGAAAGAGUGAAGGAGCAACGCAGCGUGAGUGAUGAAGGUCUUCGGAUCGUAAAACUCUGUUAUUAGGGAAGAACAAAUGGGUAAGUAAAUAUGCACGUCUUGACGGUACCUAAUCAGAAAGCCACGGCUAACUACGUG
This 497-nucleotide ribosomal RNA is filed under the name uncultured bacterium. RNAcentral's name for it is "partial 16S ribosomal RNA". It matches the Rfam family "Bacterial small subunit ribosomal RNA", at positions 28 to 507 of the family's 1533-position model. The record is from RNAcentral.